UAGGGUUUAGAGUUAAGGGGUGGGGUUUAGGAUUUAGGAUUUAGAGUUUAGGGUUUAGGGUUUAGGGUUUAGGGUUUAGAGUUUAGGGGUGGAGUUUAGGGUUUAGGGUUUAGAGUUAAGGGGUGGGUUUUAGGAUUUAGGGUUUAAGUUUUAGGAUUUAGGUUUUAAGGUUUAGGGUUUAGGGUUUAGAUUUUAGGGUUUAGAGUUUAGAGUUUAGAGUUUAGGGUUUAGGGUUUAGGUUUUAGGGUUUAGAGUUGGGGAGUGGGGUUUUGGGAUAAGAUUUCAAAUUUUGAAAAAUAAAAAAAAAUUAAAUUUUUCAAACGAUAAAAUGCUAUUUUGGUCAUUUUAGUUUUUGAUGAAUGAAAAGAAAGGGUAGAGUUCCUUAUAUAGGAGAAGAGAAUGAAGGAAGAUUUUCUAAAUUCCAAUGUGGGACAAAAUAAAAUGAAAAGGAAAUUUUAGGUUUUAAUUAAAAAAAAAAAAACAAAUGGGCUUUCCCAUUUCCAUAGUUACAGUUUUUUUCUUCUCGGAUAGACAUCGCACACAGCCUUCCAUGAGCGAUUGUUAUAUAAUAUAUUCAGUGUUAAAAAACACUAAAUUGGUAAAUGGUAAACAAAAGGGACUCAGUGCCUACUAAAACGCUUAAUCAAAAUUUUAAAAAGAGAAAAUGACUAGGAUAGCACUAAAAAUUUUUUUGUCACAAAUAUAGUCUCUAAGAAUAAAAAUGACCAAAAUAGCACUUAAUGUUUUAUCAAAAGAGAUAAAUACACACUUAUACCCCAAUGGUAAAUUAAUUUAGACAUUAGGGUUUAGAGUUAAGGGGUGGGGUUUAGGAUUUAGGAUUUAGAGUUUAGGGUUUAGGGUUUAGGGUUUAGGGUUUAGAGUUUAGGGGUGGAGUUUAGGGUUUAGGGUUUAGAGUUAAGGGGUGGGUUUUAGGAUUUAGGGUUUAAGUUUUAGGAUUUAGGUUUUAAGGUUUAGGGUUUAGGGUUUAGAUUUUAGGGUUUAGAGUUUAGAGUUUAGAGUUUAGGGUUUAGGGUUUAGGUUUUAGGGUUUAGAGUUGGGGAGUGGGGUUUUGGGAUAAGAUUUCAAAUUUUGAAAAAUAAAAAAAAAUUAAAUUUUUCAAACGAUAAAAUGCUAUUUUGGUCAUUUUAGUUUUUGAUAGCUAUUUUUGUGACAUAAACUUAGAAAUGUGCUAUUUUGGAGAUUUGCCUUUUUAAAAAUUCUAUAAUAUAGUUGACACCAUUAACCGCCAUAACCAUCUCAUUGAAAAACGUUUCAGCUACCGAUUUUAGACCGCGAAUCUCCUCAUCCAAAUCUUCGUUCACCCACCUUAACACGGCGCCUCUGUAACCACCAUGAUUUCAGUGUUAUAAUGAGUUUUGAUCGUCUGCUUGAGAUCACGAAUCUCCUUCACUUUGGCAAGACACUUGUCUUUCUUUUCCAACAACUAACAGUUCAACACAUCCAUUUCUUCAUCGCCGGCAGCCUGGGCCUCAACACUCAUCCAGUCUCUAAAGUAAUAGAGCUGAUACAUGACCUACAACAAGAAGACAAAGGCUUAGACAGAACAUUUGAACUACUAAAAGAAUGGUGACGUUUUAUAAUUACCCUGAAAAGAUCACAAUGGACGCUUUGGACCCCAAAUACCUCCCAACAAAGGGACUUUGUCUUGAGCAAACACUUUGACGUGUAGGUUUGUUAAAACCUUCGAAAAACUAGCAUGAGGACAGGAACUAUCAAGGGAUUGCUUUGCAAACCUGGUGGUAAUCCAUGUAGCAUUCGCCUUCUUCCCUUUAAUGGCAUAAGGUAGUUCUGUCUUCACAACGGUUCUGUGGUUGACCCCUGCCAAACUCCCAAUGAUCAUUACUUCAUCCUCAUAAACUGUUAUGCUAGAAGAUCCAUUCUUGACAUCGCUUGAUAGGCCUUUUUUAGAGCCAAUGCAUUAAUUCUUGUGCUUCCAACAUGUUUCCUGAACAGAUGACACCAUCAGAGAAGUGAGGAGUCAAUGAUAAUUGAGGACCGCUUUUGGCCAUAUUUCUCUUCUUCCAAUUCUUCCUCUUCUUUCCCCCAGACUUGUCUGUUUCUGUCUCUGUGUGCUGAGAUAACCGACAGGUGUCGAUUGACAAUGAAGUGGUAGUGUCGAUCGAUACUGGUAUACCUUUCUCACAUCAUCUUCUAGAACUUAUUUUUCCUCAGAAACAUCUCCAUGCAGAGGAUCGAUCGUCUACUAUCCCAGUGUUUAGAUCUAGAUGCAUACUUAUGUCAGCUGGACUAGGCGAUCCAACUUCAAAAAUAGCGCAGAGAACCUCAACAGUGUCGUUUGACACGGGGUAAACAGUGUCAUUCGACACUUGGAUAUCUACGCUGCCAAUCGCUGCUUGGAGGGUGUCGACUGCCCUCUUAGACUUAUGGAUCGUGCGUGAAUCAGUAGGAUCCUUCUUUGAAGAACCCAAAAAAACUUCUUCCCAUUGCUUCCUGGUACUGAUAUGUAUGUACAUGAAACACAAGAAAAAACAAUUUAUGUAAGUAAACUACACAUAGAAAAAUAACCUAGACUAAAUCAAACAAAUUGAGUCUAAUGGCAAUUCAUGCUCCCCGGAAACGGCGCCAAAUUUGAUAUCACUCAAAUUACCCUAAGGAGUGACUUUUACUCUUUCAAAUAAGAAGUUUAUUUGUAGUACUUAGGGAUCAAAUCCACAGGGAGCGUGGUCACACAACAGACUGAAGACAGUCACGAUUAAGCUAGGCAAAUAAGUAUUAAAGCAGUAAAUAAAGCCGUAAAUAAGUUGAAGAUUAAAAUAGAUUGAUUGAUGAGUUCUUUGAUGGAAGGAUGGUUGCUAGACUAGGGUUUUAUUCAGGUUAUCAGAACUCAAUCUAUAGAUGGUAAGGGUUGAUCCUAGAACUCAAAUUCAUAUAAGUAAGUAAAUCAGCUCUCGCAUGCGCUUACUAAUCAGAUGUCUAAGUCCUAUGUUCCAGCUGUCGCAUGCGAACAAGGAGCGAGCCUCGAUCGAUGCUAUGGUAAUAGCGUCGAUCGAUGCUUCUUUAGACAAGCAUUAAUGACCUAAUCGAUAUGUUCACUAGGUUAACUAAAUCAGCAUUCGCGUGCGCCAAACAACCUAGCUCAGCAGAAUUAUUAUCAGGUAAGGAACGUACUGUCGUAGUUGUCUAUAAUCCUAAGAUCAGGGUUCAAGUUAGCUACUCUAGAACACAUGUAAUAAGUCCAAUUCAGUGAAGGAUUCAAUUAUCACCCUAGAAAUUCUCUAUCUCAGAAGAACAUCAAAACCCUAGAAAACCUAGAUCUAACAGAUAGAUCUACUCAAACAUGAUAGUUGUCACAAAAAAUCUUAGAUGAAUAGAUAUAAAACUGGAAAUCAAAAUAAAUAUCAAAGCCAAACCUAAAGGGGUUCCAGGAGGACUCGUAAGAAGUUCUUCCUUUCUCUCCUAACCUAAUUAAUAUGAAUAAAAUAAAGCGUAGCCGUCAACAAUGGCUUAGAAAACACAUAAAUAGGAUGGAUUUUAUGUCAUCCAAAGGCUUUCUGGUAAUUUGUGGUCACUUCUGGGCUUAAGACGAUCAUGAAAUAGGCUCGGUCUGUCUUCUGGCAUCACCAUCGAUCGACACCAAGGCUGUAUCAUCGAUCGACAUUCCUUCAUAUCUUCGACCGCUUGCUCUCGCGAGGCAGACAAACAACUCUUCAGUAAAACAGGCAUAACAUCUGCUAUAGGAUUCUGAUUGACCUUAAACUCGUGGCUUUGAAAAACUAACUCAAAGCUAUAUUUUCUAUCAAAAUAUGGGCUAAAUCCAAUUGUGGGAAGCUCUCCAUCCAUAGUUAAACUUCUGGCACAUCUGUGCAGUUCUGCACCCCAAGAGGCCCUAGAAUCACCAAAGUUCUCUAAAACGUACCUGAACUUGAAAACACUCUAAAACAUACUCCAAAAUCAUAUAAUAGACUCUAAAAAAAUCAUAUACCCAUGGCAUAAAAGUGUUAAAAUCCAUGGUAUAUCAGUAGAAUUUCUAGUUUGGGAUAUAUCUUAUCAAGUUUCUCGUCUCAGUGGUAUCAGAGCAUAUAAAUCUUUUAGGACCGAGCAAUGGACACCAGAAAAACCACCAUGAUGAUCGAGAUGAACAAACAAAUAGAGGAUCUUCGUCCAUCACAAACACAGCAAACCGAAGUAAUUCAAAAAGAAUUAAGAGGAAAAAUCGAUGAGCUUAAAGCGAUGAUGGAAAAAUAUUUUGCUAAUACUCCACCACCUACCAUGCAACAUGAAGGAUCUUCCGGUCUAACGUCUGCAGAAAAAUCUAAUGAACUAGACCCACUAGAUCGCGCCCUUGGAAAGUAGAGUACAGAAAAAACAAGUCAAAUCAAUCUCGAUCAAACCCUAACUACCUCUCCAUAACAGUCUUUCGUAAUGGCUAAGAAAGAUUGUAAUCCCGAUGUUUGAUGGAUAAGUACUUCGAGAAUGGAUUUACCGUUGUGAACAGUUCUUCUCGAUUGAUAGUACACCACCAUAAUUGAAGGUUCGUCUCGCCUCUCUUCAUAUGAUAGGCAAAGCUCUUCAAUGGCAAAACGCCUACAUUGCAAAUCGCUACAACAUAUUCCCGCUAUGGCCAGAAUAUGUCACCGCCAUAUCUGAACGCUUCAGCGAGCUUUAUGACGAACAUCUUUCGGAUUUAAUUAGUCUGAAACAAGAAAAUGAUUCCAUUGACAUCUAUCUGCAAAAGUUCGAUUGCGCUAUGACAAGGCUCACACUUCCUCCGGAACACGCGCUGAGCAUCUUCUUAACCAGCAUGAACCAACACCUCGCCCUCCAUGUUCGACAAUUUAACGUGACUAUUGUCACUACAGCAGCACGAAUUGCUAAACUUCACGAGCUCUCUCUUCAUCAUACUCCUACAAAGCCAUCGCUCUUCUUUCAACCCCUACCAGGAGAAAAAUUCACCGCCUCCAUACAAAACUCAACACGCUACAAACACACCAGCAACACCUAACACAAAACUCCUCCUCCCAAGUACAAAUAAAAAUGCCUCACAUUCAAAGAGAUGCAUGAAAGAAAACGUAAGGGUUUAUGUAUGUUUUGCGAAGAACCAUUCACGCCUUGUCAUUAGAUUAAGCACUGGCGUUCUGAGUUCUUGUUUAUGGAAGCUGAUCAGACAUAAUUUGAUGAAGAAAUCACGCUAGAAGAACAAAUACGAGAAACAACCAUUAGCGAUCAAGAUGUCAAGGUCCCUGUAGAACCUAAAAUCUACACAAAGUAUUUGAUAGUGAUCGGGGUUUGAUCUAGGGAAGACAAAUGAUGUAGGAAACGAUAUCUUUAGAACACAACGAUGUUAAGUAGUUUCCAGCAAGUGAAAAUGGAUUUUAUUGAUGACUAAGAUCGAAUACAAUGAAUUGAACUAGAUCGAGUGAUACAAAUGAGAUCGGUAAAGAAAGAAUCUAAAAGUGGGAAGACAACAAGAUCGAUGUGAAUGUGUCGCUCUCUCUAGGGUUUUCAACGUCUCCUCUUCUGCUUCCAUUUCUCUUCCUUUAUAGUAAGCUGACUUUGAGACCUCUGUGGUAGCUCCACGAUCUCAGCUUCUUGUUGCGCGAUCUCCGUGACCUCGAUGACUCCUUCUCGAGCUUGUAUCCUUGCUAUGGGCUCCGGCCCUUUAAGGCCCAGGCCUUUGAACGCGGCACAUCAUGGUAUUGGCCAAAAUUGGGUCCAACAUUUGUCCCCCAGCCGCUUUUGAUUUGAUCGAAAAGGAAAAGGAGCGGUUGUCUUUUGAUCCGGGUCUUCUCGUUUGAUAACCGAUAUCGCUCGGAUCCAGUUUUAAUGAUCGUUUUCAAAAAAAAACGUUCGUUGGCACGUUUUUUUAUUAUUAUUUUAAUCGGUAACGGUUACUUUAGCCGCCGUUAGGGCAUAGGCUAGGUCAUAAUUGCUUUUCUCGAUAGCAAUGAUAGAGCCGUUAAGGUGGCUUAUAUAUACGUAGAGGAUCUUCUUUUUGCCUCAAUCUCGUUUCUUCUUUCUAGUUUCUUUCCUCUGCUCCAAAACUUUUUGUCGAGCUUAAGAUGUCCUCGUCGUUCAAUUUCCCUCGUCCGACUACCGAGGCUGAUGAUCUCGACAACCUUUACAAGGCGUACGGGGUCGAUCGUGCCGUCAUUCUUGAUUUGGCCGGUACGAAUGAGACUCCCGAAACCGUGAGAGAAAGCUACUACGGAGCCCAUCUUUCCUUCUUUCAUUCUUGCGGUCUUACCUUCCCGAUCCCGGAGCCAAUACUAGAGGUCCUAGCAGAGCUUGGGUUAUCGCUUACCCAGCUUCUCCCGAAUUUUCUUAGGCAUCUUGUCGCCUUCUUGGUUAAGGCCAGGGAGGAGGUUCUUGCUUUUGGUCUUAGUGAGUUUCGUCAGCUCGUUCUGGUGAAGCGGAAUAAGCAGAACCCUGGUACUUUCCUCGUGUCUCCGCGCCCAGGUCGCCACAUCAUCGAGGACAUCCCUUAUCGCGACGAGAAGUGGUGCUAGCAAUUUUUCGUUUUCAAGAUGGAUCGAGCAUCUAUGGGUGACUUUGAUUUCUCCCAGCUUCCCUGGCGUUGGGCUGAGAAUAUCGGUUAGUUUCCUUUUGCCUAUGUGCUGAUGAUUUCUUUGUUUGGGGAGUCAAAGAUUAAAACUUUCAUUUAUUUUCGUUUGAUUUAGUUCCUUCUGGUCUAAUGUCGGAUGAGAUCCGCGAUCUGAUGAGGGCCGUUUAGAGAGGUCGUUCGAACUGGUCUACUUUUGAAUGAACUCGGAUUCAAACUGUCCUCGCCUUGCCGGCGGGGACAAAUAGAGCUCCUUCGGCCGAGGGGUCUGAAGGCGAGACCGAUCAUUCCUAGGAGGUCGUAGUGACUCCUUCUGUUCAGACUCAGUCUUCAGAUCGGCUUCCUAGGGAGCUUGUGAGAAGAUCGUCAUUUUGAACUUCUGGGUUUGCAUCGAGGGGCCGAUUUACCGGAAAAUUUCCCUUGAUCUCGAUUCACGAUUCCGACGAUGAAGAUGUUUCAGGAGAGACUCGACCAUCUGUCUCGUCGAGCCCUGGCUCAGAAGACAAGACCGUGGCGGCGACUCAUAAGCGACGUCGGUCAUCGGAAGGUGACUUGACCGGUCCGUCUCAUCCUAGGUUUGUUUCUGAGGGAGAUGGCUCUUCGUUUGCGGCCCAAAGCGACUUAAUUUCCCUCGCUGGUCGCAUGAGGUCCGCGGGUUGUCGUCUCCCAUCUCUCACUUCCUCAGUCGAGAGGGAAGCCUAUGCCAAGGUUGUUGUGGCGAGCUCUAAGGUUCGUCCCUCGCCUUCGUUCUACUUGAAAAGCUCUUUUGUGGUAUUUGCUCAUUUCCAUUUCUUCUCAGGUGAUGGAAGCUUUUAAUGAGUACGCCGUGAUGAUGGAGGAUCAUGUUGUGGCUUCUCGGAACGAUAAGGAAAUCGAGAGUAUUUGUUCUGAGAUUAAGAGGCUUUCGGAGGAGCUCGAAACCACCAAGCAAGAAGGGAAGAAGGAUGCCAAGAAGAUCGAAGCCUUGACUGAAGACUGGAGGGGAGUUCAUCUGGAGAACGAGACUCUCACGUCCCAGAUGGUUGCUCAAAGUGAAAGAAUUGCGGCGCUCGAGGUCGAGAGAGAUCGGGACAUUCGAUGCGCUUCUCGUAUUGCUCGUCGCGAUAUUGCUGCAAAGUAUCGGGAAGUUCUCCAAUCUUUGAAGGGUAGGUGGGCGAGCAAGAAGAAGGAAGUGUCUGCUGAGAUCCGACUACAAGAAGUGACCGCCAACAUCGAUCUCCUGAACGAGCUUAAGGAUGGGGGCCUAACUGUGGAUGCGGAACUUGCACGUUUAAAGGGAAUGAAAGGAGAUUGCAAGGAUCUUGUCGCCCUAGCCGUCGUGCCGGAUUGGUCGAUCGCCGAGCUCGAUCUUCCUCAAGUCUCAGAUGAUUCUGUGGAUCAAGUCGGGGGGUCGUCUGUCCCCGAUGAUUUCGUUUCUAGUUAUUUUUUUCUGUUAUAAUAUCUUUUGGUUUUUUUACGAUCUUUGAUCGUGAUAUCUAGGUAAUCUUUUAAUGGAUAAUCAUAAUAUUUUGGAAUAUCCUUGUCUCCUUAGCUUUCGAGAUUCUUUUGUUCGGGUUGUUGAGAUAUGGCGAGGUUCUGAUCCCUAUAAAGCUUUGACUUUGUUUUAGGAUUCAUCAUAGUAUCUCAUUUAGUUUUUGUUUUUGUUCACUAAAGGAAUAUGACUUCGAGAAGAUCCAACUCUCGCGAUUUCGAUAGGGUACGAACUCGAACUGGUAGUGCCAAUGCGGAACGUAUUCGAUCCGGAGAUGUGAGUGAUGCGCUCUCAGAAGUUCUUUGUGAGGAGACCCAACUUUCACGGCCUUCAACCCAAGGGGCCAAAGACCCUGAGGGUGAAAAAUCUGUUGCCCGCGUUAAGUCGAGUAGCCCAACGGGUUCGGAGGGGCGUGAUCGUCCUCCGAAGAAGGCUAAAACAAAUGGCUCGGAUAGUCGUCUUGGUCUCUCGGGCAAAGCGGCUGUUCCUAAGCCGUUCCACUGGCAGUUCUCGCAUUCCAAGGAUUGUCCUAUUACGGAAGAUCCAGAUAGUGUUGCUCAUUUGGUGAGACACUUCAAACCUGCUGGAUGUCCGCUUCCCUCUUUGCGUAAUAUGACGGAGCGUGAGGCUUACGUAAAGAUGGCUGUGGCCCAUGCCAUGGUCGUUCCUUUUGAAAUUUGGUCCUUGUCGAAUCUUUGGUUCGUUUUGUCUGAACUGAUUUAUCAUGUUUCAGGCUAUGGAGGCUAACAACGAGUUUGCGGCAACUUUAGAAAAACGCAUGCAAGAUGUUCCGUGUUCUGGCGAACUUUAUGAAAUAAAGAAGGUCGUUCGUGAGCUAAAGCUUGGUCUGAAGAUGGCUCAAGACCGGGAGCGUGCCAAUGCUGCUCAACUGGCUGCCGCUGAAAAUCUGGAGAAUCAGGCUGCUUCGCUCGAAGCUCAUCUGCGAGUUGUGAGUAACGAAAGGAAGUCGGCCCUCGAGCAAGUUUCCUUUUUGGAAGCGAAGGUUGAAUCUUCUGCCAAUAAGUUCUCUGACGACCUUCACCGCGCGACUCGUGAGACCAAAAAGACUAUGGUGGAUAGCUAUCUGGAUGUGCUGGUCUCUCUGAAGGAGAAAUGGGAAAAGUAGAAGGCUGCAACUGAUAUUGAGGCUCGUCUUCGAGAAGUCGUGGCAAAUAUAGAUCUCUUGAAGGAGAUCAUGAGCAACAAUCCCCUAGCUUUGGAUGAGUUGUUGCGGAUUCGAGCGAAGGAGAUCGAGCUUGGGUCCGAGGUCGAUGUGAUGGCGACUUCGGAUUUCUGCGUUGGGAAGCUCGACUUGCCUCAGAUUUCGGAGGAUCUGCCGGAGGAUUUCUUCGAUAAGGUCCCUUCUGCGGCGGAUGACGUGGCAAAGUGCUCGGGUGAUCACUUUGAGGAUGGUGAAUUCAGCAUCGAAGAGUAGCUUUAGGGACUUUCUUUGUUUUUUCCUCUGCCUUUUGUUGCUUUAUUAUUUCUUUUAUUUAAUAAAGAAGGGAUCGUGGGUCCCGAUUUAUUUGUUGCCAUUUUUAUGUUUUAUGCGAGGCCGAUCUUUUGGGGCCAUGUGUCGAUUUUUUGUAGAUACUUCUAUCGACAGUUUCGAUGUAACAAAAAAUUUUGUUAGCUAGUUUUGUCGUGCUUAUUGGCGGAGUUGGUCGCGACCGAGGACUUGAUCAGGUCUUGGUUUUUGGUCAACUAUCGCAGUUAUGCGAUUUUCUGACACGAGAAGUCUGAUGUGUUCGAAUGUCUAAGAACUGUAUUUAUUAAGACGCCGGAUUCUGGCUUCCUCUGAUAGUUUCGAAUCCUUUUGAGGUUGGAAAUUUCAGGCCAUGGUGAUAUGUCGAGGGGACUGCCUUCAUGCUGUAUAGCCAAGGUCUCCCGAGGAUUGCGUUGAAUGGGGCCGGACGGUCUAUCACGAUGAAUUCUACGAUUUUUCUGAUUUCUCCAGCGGUUACCGCGAGCUCGAUCGAUCCGAGAGAAUAGGCGGUCUCUCCUUCGAAGCCGAUGAAGGGAGUUCGCUCUUGCUUUAGGAGUGCUUUAGUGAAUCCCAUUUUUUUAAACGCCUCGUAGAAGAGGACAUCGGCCGAGCUUCCGGUGUCGAUCAUUACUCGGGAUAGUUCGCAGCCACCAACGUCGAUUCGUAUCACAAGAGCCGUCGUCGUGCGGUUUUUUUUCGUUGAAGGUGAUUUCAUGAUCGGGACCUGACAAGGGCUCUCUAAUUCCUACGUUGUUUUCUGCACUCCGUUGGUAUGCUUUCAUUGAGUUGACCGAAUUGCAGAAUUUGGAGCCUCCGUAGAUGAAGUCGAUCCGUUUUUUGCCCUUGUUGUGGGCCGGAAAAUUCCACCUCUUAGUCAGUGCUGGUUGGUAGUGGCUCUGUCCCCUAGACAGAUUGCGAUUGAGAGUCUGCAUUAUGUCUUGUUUUUGAAUCGGUUUCUCCAACAGCUCGCGAGUUUUGGUCAUUUUAUUCUUUCGCUUGAAGUUGGAGAUUUUUACACUAGGAGGUUUUGUGUUUUGGUUGUAUGGAGUGACACAGGGAGGGGGAGUGACUUCGUCGGGAUUUUCCAAUGUGCGGAUUGCUACCGAGAUCUCGAAGCGGAUUUUUCCUUCGGUUUGGCUCUUGAUUUCAUCGGUUGUGUUGCUGUUCUGCCCCCAUGGUGAUUCAUGUUCGAUCUCCCUGCCUCUUUUGUUUGUUAAGGCUUUGGUCUUUCGGUUGGAUAUCAGAGUCACUGGCUCUUCUUCUUCUUCGGCUUCUUCGUUAGUAUUUUUGUUUUGACUGCGAAGUACGGCUCGACAUUCUUCGGUCGAGUGGCCCUUGCGAUCAUGGAAAGUGCAGUAUUUGCUAAGGUCAUAUGUUGAAGACUUUUGCGGCGAAUUAUUUAUUGCGUAGGAAUGUUGCCCUUUGGUGGUUGGUUCUUUAGGAGUAGAAGGUUUUUUGGUUGUGUUGUUCUUGUUCGCACUAUACUGUUCUUUCAAGGCUGCGCCUUCCUCUUCACGAGUGGCGAAAUAAGAGGCUCGGUGUAGGGCGUCGUCCAACGAGAUAUGUGCUCGUACCACCAAUUCUUCCCUGAAUUUGGAUGAGAACUAGACGCCAUUCUUUAACACUGCGAGGGCAACAACUUCGUUCGGAUGUGAGAUCUUGGCUUUAAUUUCUUGGAAUUUGUUUAUGUAUUCUCUUAAUGGCUCGAAAGGCGCUUGUUUGAGAUUCCAGAGAUCUGCUUCGGUAACUCUUGUCUCUAUGAAGACUGAGUAUUGUUUGAGGAACGCAGAUACCAGCUGGGUAAAGUUGUCGAUAGAAUUUUCUUCUAGUCCAGCGAACCACUCUAGGGCGGCUCCAGUGAGGUUCUCGGCGAAGAAACGGCAGUAUCCAGCUUCUUUUUCAUUGUCGGUGAGGUGUGCUCUUGAUAUUGCUAGACGGAAAGCUCGCACAUGGGCUUUUGGGUCUGUGUUCCCGGCGUAUUCGGGGAAUUUCAGUUUCCCAACGUGAUACAGUCUUACGCUGGCGAUUCUGUUUGUGAAUGGGGUCCUUCUCGUUUCCUCGAUGACAAUGUCGAUAUCGGGAGCGGAGCUCGUCGCCAUGUGUACGAUCACAUGUAUCCUUUUGAGCUCGGCGUCGUUCCUUUCGAUAUAAUUCUGGAAGGUUCCAGUUUCGUUCGGGAUUCCCAAGUCUUCCCUUUGGGGGUCGAUAUUGAUGGGACCGCGAAGAUCGUGUCUCCGAUCUUGUUCCGUUGGGUUAUCGAACCCUAUUUGAUUGAAGGUUCUGGUCGCGGACGGAGUUCGAUUCUCGGGGAUAGAAUGGUUUGGUGGUGAGAUUCGUGUUCUUGGCUCCCCCUGCCUCUCCGUCGAUCCGUUCUGGAAUUGGAUCGGAGUGCUUCAUGGGCGUUGGAGUCCAGUGUCGAUUUCGUCCAGUCCAGUGUAGCUUAAGCUUCGGUAGGUCAUGCCCUGCGGUGGGGGUCGUUGAGAAUUUUCUCCCACGUAGCGUCCGGAUCGGGCGCUUGGGAUCUCUGGACUGCCGAACAGUCCAGUGCUUUGGGGGUUGGACGUCGUCCUUAACGGAUCGAGGGGCGUUUGAUUUCUUUCCCGAAUAUUUGCAGCUCGAUGCUCUGUGAGCUCCCUUUCGGCUUGGUCCAGUCUAUUAGCAAUGGUUUGGUUGGCGAUCCUUUGACUAUGAAUCUCGUCGAUUAGAGUUGUCAUCAUUCCUCGGAGUUCGGUCAGUUCUCCUCGGGUUUGGGCUAGAGGAGUCGGUGAGAUCGGUCUGGAUUGGGAUCGGGUUAGGUCGUCAGAGGAUGAUCUAUCUCUGGGGCGGUUCCAAACUCGAGCUCCAGCUCGUUCUGGGAUCGUCGUCUGGUUGAUCGGAAGAGAUCGAUCUUGACUCGAAAUCCCGAUUGGAGGGAUUCGUUGCGUCAGAGCUGUUUUGGUCGCAUCAUUGGCUCCCGUUAACCCAGUUGGGGUUAUUCCAGCUCCCGAGUCAGAUCCGAUAGGAUUGAUGUCGUUGACUCCCGAUGACGUGGUUCCGGUGGUUUGGUUUGGAUCCAUAGUCGCGCUUAGGAAACUUAGAUCGGUUUCUUAGCAAAGAUGUUUUUCGUUUAUCUUCCCCACAGUCGGCGCCAAAAUGUAGAACCUAAAAUCUACACAAAGUAUUUGAUAGUGAUCGGGGUUUGAUCUAGGGAAGACAAAUGAUGUAGGCAACGAUAUCUUUAGAACACAACGAUGUUAAGUAGUUUCCAGUAGGCGAAAAUGGAUUUUAUUGAUGACUAAGAUCGAAUACAAUGAAUUGAACUAGAUCGAGUGAUACAAAUGAGAUCGGUAAAGAAAGAAUCUAAAAGUGGGAAGACAACAAGAUCGAUGUGAAUGUGUCGCUCUCUCUCUAGGGUUUUCAACGUCUCCUCUUCUGUUUCCAUUUCUCUUCCUUUAUAGUAAGCUGACUUUGAGACCUCUGUGGUAGCUCCGCGAUCUCAGCUUCUUGUUGCGCGAUUUCCGCGACCUCGACGACUCCUUCUCGAGCUUGUAUCCUUGCUAUAGGUUCCGGCCCUUUAAGGCCCAUGCCUUUGAUCGCAGCCCAUCAUGGUAUUGGCCAAAAUUGGGUCCAACAGUCCCUACUAUAUCUGUAUACACGUUAAAUGGUUUUCCGAUGUAUAACUGUAUGCGAACAAUGGGUCAAUACAGAAAGCGGAAACUGCACAUAUUAAUCGACCCCUGCAACACAUAUAACUUUCUCUAUCUUCAAAUCGCUAAAAGAUGGGGUUGCUAUCUGACGCCAAUCAAACCAGUGUCAGUUGUUUUAGCAAGUGGCGUCUUGAUUACACAGUAUAAAUGCUGUAAUUUCACAUGAACGAUGCUGGGUUAUGAGUUCAAAACCGAAAUAAGAACACUACCAUUGGGAUGUAGUGAUCUAAUACUGGGUGUGCAUUGGCUCUCCACUUUGGGAGCUAUCUUAUGGGAUUUUCUGAACCUGCGAAUGUAGUUCAAAUUUCAGGGUCUGAAACAUGUCCUCAGGGGAAGAACUCCGAACAGCUCCAAAAACAUCGCCGGAAGCAUUAAAUAAGCAAUUCUUUCAAGAACCGCAAAUUGCACUGCUUCACUCACAGGAGAUCGACAAUACCAUCAUACCUCAACAGCCACCACUGGUUCACAUACCUUAUCUUCCUGCAAAAAUUUCUUCACCAGCUAUCGACCAAAAACACUGAAGAAACAGAAGUUGGACCCUAACCUGCCACACUCAACUGCGAUGCUGCUUCAUUGCCUCUAUAACAUGGUAACUAGCAAAGUACCUGAGCUGAUUCAUGAAAAGAAGAUGGUUAACAGUUAAAAUAAAGAAGUGACAAAGGUUUUGGUACAAUGGAAAGGCUGCCCUCCUCAGCAAGCAACAUGGGAGUUUUAUCAAUAUUUCAUUGCCAAGUUUCCGUAUUUCCAUAUUUCUAUACUUGAAGACAAGUAUGAUUUGAAGGAAAGAGUAUUGUGACAGGAUAAAUCACAUAUCAUAGUUAUCGUUAUCUAAUUAUUAGUUUUCCUUAUGUUGCUUGGCUUUAUCUAUUUUUCUAAUUAAAUAUUCUCUUUGAUUUUACUAUAUAUUUUAGCCUUACAACAAGCCUUAUUCUCAAUCAAUCAAUAAACCUAUUUACCUCAAUCUUACUAAUUUGUCAAUAACCUAGAAAGAGCUCAUUCAAAAGCGACGCUUACGAACUCAGACUUUCGAGAUGAUCCUUCUACUUCAUGAUCAUCUUCUAGGUCUUUGUUUACCCAUUUUUCGAAUCCAUAGUAGAAUUUCUGGUUUUGGAUCUAUCCUAUCAAGUUUCCUGUCCAUAUUGACAAUUCCUUACCCGGUUAAAAUAUCCAAAUAUAUUCGUCCUUCCGAUUGGUUCCAUCCUCGAUUUAUCUUUGUUCAAUUAGUGAAAAUCGGUGAAAGAACGAAACGACUUUUUAAACUAUCAACAGAAAAGGAAAGCUGUUUUUUUUUUGGUAAAAUGUUAAUAUUAUACCAUUUUUGAAAUUUUUCACAAUGUUGCAAGCAACUUAUUACACGGAAACAAACAACAACAACGUAACACAAGUCGUAAAUUAAACUCAAGGAGACCGAUAAGAAGUAAAAUACAGUUGAAGGAGCGAAGGGCCGGCUGGAAGUGGCGCUGGAACUGAGAGAAUCCGGUCACGAAGUAACCUGUCGAUCGAAUGCAUGAUGAAGGUCACUCGUAGAGGAAGACACUGAAGUAAAUAUGCGGGCAUUUCUUUCUCUCCAAAUGAUGUAGAUGAUGGAUUGAAAGAGGAGCUUAAGAAGUGUCACUUGUUUGCUGCAUAGGGUACGCCUGGACGCUGCUAUCCAAGCUGCUGCUGCGUGGAGGUCAGCCGGUGGGUUAGGUAGAAUACCAGAAGCAAAACUCAGCCAAAGCUCAGAGGAUACGCUGCACUCAAAGAACAGGUGAUGGUGCGUUUCCACUGCCGAGGAACAGAGCACACACUGAUCUGUGACAUUUAGUCCCCAUCAUCGAAGUCUGUCCUUAGUAGGCAACCGUCGUAGGAGAGCCAACCAAGCCAUGAAAGUGUUCCUAGGAAUGUUUUCCUUGAACCAUAUAAUUUUACUCCAAAACACCACUGGAGCUGAAACCCUUAAGUACUCCCAGGUAGUCUUCGAAGAGAAAGAAGUCCCAAAUGUACCUCCUGCUUUUCGCCAUAGGUAACAGUCAGGACCAUUCGAAGGCAUAGGCAGAUCAAGUGAAGUAAUUUCCAUCUGAAUACUCUGAAUUUCGUUGGACCUGGCUGCAGGAAACCUCCAGGACCCAUCUACUGUUGCAUCCACCACUGAAGCAUUUCCCCUAACUCUUAAGCUGCGAGGCCCGCUUUGACCUGCAACUUCAAAUAGAGGUCCUAGUUCAGUCCAAUGAUCAUACCAGAAGCUAGCAGAUUCGCCAUUACCAACAACACAUCUCAUAAGCUCUGAGACAAUAGGUUUUAACUGCAGCAUUCUCCGAAUCGUGGGAGAGAACCGAGGGGAGUCAGGUGUCUGCCAGUAGCCAUUUCGAUGGAAGAUAAGUUUUCUCAUCCAAGAGACACAAAUUGAAGCUGGUGCGGAGAAGUAAGACCAGACUCUUUUAAGCCGAAAGACUGUCUCAAAAUCUUCCAAAUGCCUUAAGCCAAGCCCUCCCUCUUCUUUUGGCAUACAUAUGUCUGUCCAAGCCACCUGAGCUCCUCUGGCUGAUGUCGUAUCGUUCUUUCAUAGGAAAGCUUCACAAAGAGAAUCAACCUUUUAAAAUGCUUUUGGCAAUACAAAUACUGCACUCCAAAAGUUAACCACCCCGUAAAUUACUGAAGCAACAAGUCUGAUUAUCCCAGCAAAAGAUAAGUAUUUCACAGUCCAAGAAUGCAGCUUUCCUGUUAUCUUAUCAAGGAAAGGCUGAAGUGUGUUAGUCUACCCGGAUUAGAAAGGCAAGCCAAGAUAGCGAGUAGGGAAGAUACCCAGCUUGAAGCCUGAUGUAUCACUUAGCGUAGCAGCCUCAGUAUCAUUGUAACCCCCGAAGAAGAUCUCUGAUUUCGACGGGUUCAUCUCCAGUCCUGACAUAUUCUUAAAUUCCACCAUAACAUUAGAGAUUCCAGCCAAAGAGGAGUGAGACCCAUCCAAGAAGACCAGAAGGUCAUCAGCGAAGAGCAGGUGCGUAACUCUGGGAUCUUCACACUUAGGAUGAAGCUUUAUCUUGCCCUCCACAGCAGCUUUCUCAAGAAUUUUUGAUAAAGCUUCCAUUACCAUAAUAAACAUAUAUGGAGAUAUGCAAUCUCCUUGCCUCAGCCCCUUCUUUCCUUUGAAGAAGCCGGCUAGCUCUCCAUUUAUGGACAUGGAAAAUCUUGGUGAUGUUAUACACUCCUUAACCCAUUCCCGGAAAACAGGUGGAAAGUCUUGUGCCUCCAAAAGUUUCAGCAAGAAAUCCCAGCAUAUCGUAUCAAAUGCUUUCCUAAUAUCAACUUUCAGCAUCGAGCUCUUUGCGCAGGUGGCUUUUUCAUAAUUUCUUAUCAAUUCAGAAGAGAGUAGAACAUUUUCUCCCAGGCUUCUCCCCAUUAAAAACACUGAUUGGUUGGGGCUGAUACAGUGCUGGAGGAUAGGCUUUAGUCGAUUAGCAAUGAUCUUUGCUAUGACUUUAUAAGAAAUGUUGCAGCAGCUUAUCGGUCUAAACUCUCCCAGUUUGCACGCGUCCGGUGCUUUGGAAUAAGAACUAUUGCCGUGUUGUUGAGGUCCUUGAGCAGCUUUCCAUUUCUGAAAAACUCUUGGACGGCAGCGAUGAAAUCAUUCCCAACAAUUGUCCACGAUGAUCUAAGGAACUCAACUGAGUAGCCAUCUGGACCAGGGCUCUUACUAAGGGGCAUAGCAAAGACUGUCUUUGUAAUCUCCUCAUUUGUUACAUCCUUCAUCAACUCCACUUUUUGACCCUCUGAGCAUCUAAAGUCCAUCAUUUCUCUGAGCUGGUCCACUGUUGCAGGUGAACUCAGCAAUUCUGUCUCGCCCAAAAUGUCUGUGAAAUAGUCAACAGCAUGCUCCUUAAUCCCCUCAGCCGUAUUGAUCAUAUGAUCCCCCGAGUCUCUGAAGAAGUGAAUAUGGUUACUGCUGGCUCUUUGGACCACUGAUCUAUGAUAGAAAGUUGUAUCCCUGUCUCCUAAGUGGUGCCACUGAUUCCUGGACUUUUGACGAUGGAAUUUCUGUUCAGCCUUAGCGAGUACUUGUAGCUUUCCUCUUUCCUCAUGCUCCAGUCGCGCAGUCUCAGUAUCAGGAUUGGACAGAAGCUGCCGCUGGAUCAGUGCAACCUGAGAAGCCUGUUCUUUUACCCUCAGGGAGAUGCCACUAUAAUUUCUAGCAUCUAAGCUCCUUAAAGCAGGUUUGAGAAGCUUAAGAGAAUGAGCGAGCUUGAACUGCUGAAAUCCCUGAAUUGUUCCAAAGUUCCAAGCAUUUCUCACUGUCUCCAAGUAUUCCGGAUGAUCUAUUGUGUGAUGAAAAAACUUGAAGGGUUUAGGAGCCCGUCGAGAUUGAGAAGCCAUCCUCACCAAGCAAGGUGUGUGGUCUGAUUGUUCUGGUUCUAGGAACUCACAAUAAGAAUGAGGGAACAUUUGAGCCCAAUUGUGGUUGAUGAGAGCAUGGUCUAUUUUUUUCGCCACCGGAUUUGCAUCCUGAUUGUUCCACCAUGAGUACGUGAGGCCAUUAGCCUGAGCCUCAAACAAUUAUGCUUCCUGCAAUGCCAAAUUGAAGACCUCCAUCCCAGCAGUAUCAACCUCAGUAAUCAGGUGAUGAGAAUGUUAGUUGGAUCGCAAAAUCUGAUUAAAAUCACCUAAUACCGCCCAUGGAUAUCUUGAUGCAGGAGUAUCAGCAUUUAUUAAUACCAGCUCAUUCCACAAUUGCUGCCUCUCCUCAACCUGAUUAAACUCGUAGACAAAGCUAACCGUGAGAGAGAGGUUUUCAGCCAAAAUAAAGAUUCCACACGUAACGACAUGGGGCGAAGCCUGGUAUAUCGUUACUGAUACAUUUGGAUGCCAAACAACAAUAAUCCUUGUUGUAGACUGGUUAUCCGAGUUCGCAAAAUACUUCCAUCCAGCUGGAAGAACUCUUGAGAUCCGACUUGUGUGAUUGUGUUGUAUUUUUGUUUCUAGUUACGCUCCAAAAAGGGGUUUAUAUUUUCCUAUCCAGUUCUUGACUGAACUGUGGCGUGUAUCGCUGUUCAGACCUCUAGCAUUCCACGCAAAAAACAUGAUUCCAAAAAAAUUUAGGCUUUGGUAGCCUUGCGGCUACCCUUCCAGUUUGAGACCAAGAAGAACGGAUCGUUUGAUGCUGCCCUAUCAGAGUCCGAGGCAGUACCAUCAUCUACAUCAUAAACAUGAACUGUAGAGAAUCCCAAGUUCAUGUCCAAAGAGACCACCUGCUUUGGUGGACCUUCCUUUAGGCAGGUCUUAUCGCUUGCAUUUCCUUCAGAUGGUUCCUCGAGUUCUGCAUUAACAACCAAUUGGAGAUCAUCUGAUGAAUCCUUCUGCGCCAUCAUAGACUCACUUGUGCCAGUGCCAAGAGACUCUUGUGCCUCACUCGGUGGAUCACGCUGUGGGCUAGCAGGCUCUGUGUUUGCAUCUCAUGCAUCGUCUCUGCUCCUGCUAUGGUCACGCCUCCUUGCCCGAGCAGAUCUUCCAGGCCUAGAGCGCUUCUUACCCUUAGACUCACGGCUCAAGGAACGAGCUGCAGAUGGCACAUUUCUAUGUGUAGCAGGUGGAACAGUGGGCCUCCAUUCAUGGCCUACAACGGGACAGAGCUGGUGUUUGUGACCAAACUUCUUACAGCUGGAGCAUUUAUCUGGCAGCCAAGGGUACGAAACGGAGAUCUCCACUUCCUUCCCAUUGGAAAAACCUGAGACAAUCCUAUCCGGCAAAGCAGCCAGCAGAUUAACUUUAACCCAUACUUUAGCAACUUCAAACUAUUAUUUUCUCUCGGUUUCUGGUGCUAGCGAAACAGGUUUGCCAACCGCAGUGGCAAUCCUACUCAGACUUUGGUUGUUGAAUAGAAGGUAAGGAACACCCCUCAGUUAAACCGGCACCACUGCUGAUGUUAGUUGAGGCUGCUCCGGCGUGAACUCCGGUGACCAGGCUGCGACAAACAUUGGGCAUCCCUUAAUCAUCCAGACCUGACGGCUCAGCAGCGCAUCUCUCGUUCUCUCAUUUGUGACUUUCAAUAAGAAUGUUCCUUCUCCAAUCUUGUGCACAAAGAUUAUAGGACCUGCACGUGCCCAAAUCGCAUUUACGACACCAAUAAUUCUUCCCAUAGGUGGAACUUCUCCUGGAAAUCGAGCAAACACAAAUUCCUUGAAUUCCUCCUUUGCAGAAUCAAUAUUUUCAUCAGGUAUCAUCACAAAUGGGGGCCCUGACACAUGAGUAGUUGGAGUUCCCAGUUCCUGAAGCAUACAUGAUUUUUGAAUCCUUGCAAACAGCGAUGGCUCUGCAUUUCCCGAUAGAGGAGAAACAACGACAUGGCCUUCAGCCAUGCUCAAGUACUCAAAUGGAGGAUCUGGAAUAGUUUCCGCACUGGAGGAUGAACCUUCAACAGUGCACGAGGUAACAUUCUUCAAGCUCUGGCUUUCACCCAAUGAAUCGAGCUCACCAACAUGAUUAGAAGAUGGCUGCUCUCCAUGAACAUCUCCUGCAGAAGAACGCUCAGUGGUUACGGGAAGAGAAGCUGGUUUAGAAGAGGCGGCAGAAGCCCCUUUAAAGUGCCCUAGCUUAGAGGAGGCCACAAAUUUCAAGGCACCAGGCUUUUUGCGCUUCCCCAUCGCCGAGGAGAAGAAAUUUUACAGGUAAGAAGAGGGGAGACAAAGAGUUCUCGACGGUGGCGUGGUGCCGGAGCCGUCGGCGCGAGUAGGAGGAGGAAAACCCUAAUCGCCUUUUCAAUUGCCAGGAAGAGAGAGAAAAGUUAGUGUAAAUUGUUGGCCGAUCGCUCUGACCAAAUUUUUUUGUGUUAAAAGGUUAUGAUAAACCUUUAGUAGUUUUGAUAAACCUUUAGUAAGAUCUUAGCUUUUAUACCAUAUUUUAAGUUAUAUCGAACUGACUCGAUGUUAUUCAUUCACAACGUCUUUUUUCUUUAUUGGAACCUAAUGCAUCAUUAGGAAAUGAAAUACUUUUCUGAGUGACAAUUGUUCUCUUCCCAUGUCACUCUUGGUCUUUUAUCUCCUAUAUUUCGUUUUUUUAAUGAAUGUUAAAUUUAUUCACCAAAAAAGCCUUAUUACAACUUGUGCUUCCUUUUUACUUUAAAACUUAUACUCCACUACUCAAAAGAUAAGCAAAAACCUAGUUACAUUCUAGUUAGAAACCAGAAUUGCAUUAACUCCUCCAUACCUUUUGCUCCACUUUUUCGCACUAUACUGAUUAUGUUUCUAAUACCUUUCUCAAUCACUCUUUUUAGAACCGACAGGGGCAUCAUCUUUUCUCCAUGCCUUACCUUGUUCCUUUCUCUCCACAAUGCGUAUAAGACAGCCUGAAAAGCAUAUCUAAUACAUAUCAGACUCUUCUUCUCUCUUGUCCUCUCAGAGAUAAUGCGUAUGAUCCUUGACCAAUCUGUAGUAUAAGAAUUCCUCAACAACCCUUUAGCAAUGAAUUCCCAAACUUGAGCAGACAAGUUGCAUUCAAAAUAUAAGUGGUUUCUCGACUCAGGCGCAUUCUUGCAAAGAACACAGACAUCAUCACUCCCCUGGCUCCAUUUCAUCACUUUAUCCAUAGUCGACAACCUAUCUCUCACUGACAGCCACGCCAUGAAAGCAUAUUUCGGAGUCGCUUGCGGAAACCAAAUGCCUUGAGCCCAAUUACAAAAUGACUUUUUUCUCUCAACUGAUCCCAAGUUUUCUGAGUAGAGAACUCCUUCCUAUACUCCGAGUCUCUUUUCCAAAGAUAAGUAUCAGUAUUGCAUGCAUUCAGAUUAUUCUCAAUGAUACGUAGCUCCUCCUCAAUCUCAUUAAGCAUUCCUACACGGUGUCUUCUUCUUCAAACACUUAACACUGCCUCCUCCACUGUAGCAUUCUUUUUCACUCUCAUAUCAAUGAUCCCCCUAACACCCAACAAAUCAGAGAGAACCCCUUUCCCAGACCAAUUAUCAAACCAAAAAGAGGUGUAUCUUCCAUUACCCACUUCAAACUUCAAGAACAGCUUAGCCACACUUCUCAACUUCAACAUCUUAUGCCACAUCCAAGAACCCAAUUGCAUCUUUGAGUUAACUUCCCAAAAGCUUUGCCCUUUCAGCAAGUUAGCUCGGAUCCAUUUCCCCCAAAGAGACUCUCCAGUUAACAUUCUCCAUAUCAGUUUGAGACCAUAAACCUUAUUGACUUCUCUCAGAUUUCUAAUCCCCAAACCCCCUUCACUCUUAGUGCAGCAGAUAUCUUUCCAAGCAACCUUUGCAUUUGAAGAUUUAAGAGAUGGCCCCGUCCAUAAGAAAGCUGAGCAUAUUUGUUCCACUUCCUUUAUACAACUGCACGGUAACCGGAACACUGUCGCCCAAAAGUUGACUACACUAAUGAGAACAGAGUUUAUUAACUGAAUGACAAGAAUCUACACGUCUAGGAACUUAUUUUGCUUCUUAUCUUUUCCAAAAGAGGGACAUAAUCUUGCUUCUUCAUCACAUGUGUCAUUAGUGGAAGACUUAAGUAAUGAACAGGGAGCUCUCCAACUGCAAACUUAAAAUUGGACAAGAUACUUCUCUUCUCUACAUCCGAAACCCCCGCCAUAUAUAUUGUUGAUUUCUCCACACUGAUGCUCAAUCCAGACCACACCUCAAACUCUUCAAACACAGUUAACGCACCUUGUACAGACUGCUUCAAUCCUUCAACAAACACCAUUAAAUCAUUUGCAAAGCAUAGGUGUGUGAUCGAGAGAGAUUGACAACCCGGGUGAAACUUGAAUUUUCCUUCAGCCACUGCUCUAUCAAUUUUCCUUGAUAAUACAUUCAUACACAAUACGAACAGGUACGGCGAAAGAGAGCAACCCUGACGUAGUCCUCUUGAGCUUUGAAAGUACCCCGCGAGAUAACCAUUGACUUGCACCGAGAACGAAGGACUCGUUAUGCAUAAUUAUAUCCAAUGAAUGAACUUCUUAGGAAAUCCCAAGGCACUCAGACUCUUCAAUACAAACGUCCAUUGAACUCAAUCAAACGCUUUAGAUAUAUCAAUUUUCAUAACACACCUUGGGGCAAUUGUGUCCUUAUGAUAAUCCUUGACGAGUUCUGAAGCUAGAAGAACAUUCUCCAUGAGCAAACAACCUUUAACAAACGCUGACUGGUUUUCUAUUAUGAUCUGAGGAAGCAAUCUCUUUAGGAACGCUCAGUGGUUACGGGAAGAGAAGCUGGUUUAGAAGAGGCGGCAGAAGCCCCUUUAAAGUGCCCUAGCUUAGAGGAGGCCACAAAUUUCAAGGCACCAGGCUUUUUGCGCUUCCCCAUCGCCGAGGAGAAGAAAUUUUACAGGUAAGAAGAGGGGAGACAAAGAGUUCUCGACGGUGGCGUGGUGCCGGAGCCGUCGGCGCGAGUAGGAGGAGGAAAACCCUAAUCGCCUUUUCAAUUGCCAGGAAGAGAGAGAAAAGUUAGUGUAAAUUGUUGGCCGAUCGCUCUGACCAAAUUUUUUUGUGUUAAAAGGUUAUGAUAAACCUUUAGUAGUUUUGAUAAACCUUUAGUAAGAUCUUAGCUUUUAUACCAUAUUUUAAGUUAUAUCGAACUGACUCGAUGUUAUUCAUUCACAACGUCUUUUUUCUUUAUUGGAACCUAAUGCAUCAUUAGGAAAUGAAAUACUUUUCUGAGUGACAAUUGUUCUCUUCCCAUGUCACUCUUGGUCUUUUAUCUCCUAUAUUUCGUUUUUUUAAUGAAUGUUAAAUUUAUUCACCAAAAAAGCCUUAUUACAACUUGUGCUUCCUUUUUACUUUAAAACUUAUACUCCACUACUCAAAAGAUAAGCAAAAACCUAGUUACAUUCUAGUUAGAAACCAGAAUUGCAUUAACUCCUCCAUACCUUUUGCUCCACUUUUUCGCACUAUACUGAUUAUGUUUCUAAUACCUUUCUCAAUCACUCUUUUUAGAACCGACAGGGGCAUCAUCUUUUCUCCAUGCCUUACCUUGUUCCUUUCUCUCCACAAUGCGUAUAAGACAGCCUGAAAAGCAUAUCUAAUACAUAUCAGACUCUUCUUCUCUCUUGUCCUCUCAGAGAUAAUGCGUAUGAUCCUUGACCAAUCUGUAGUAUAAGAAUUCCUCAACAACCCUUUAGCAAUGAAUUCCCAAACUUGAGCAGACAAGUUGCAUUCAAAAUAUAAGUGGUUUCUCGACUCAGGCGCAUUCUUGCAAAGAACACAGACAUCAUCACUCCCCUGGCUCCAUUUCAUCACUUUAUCCAUAGUCGACAACCUAUCUCUCACUGACAGCCACGCCAUGAAAGCAUAUUUCGGAGUCGCUUGCGGAAACCAAAUGCCUUGAGCCCAAUUACAAAAUGACUUUUUUCUCUCAACUGAUCCCAAGUUUUCUGAGUAGAGAACUCCUUCCUAUACUCCGAGUCUCUUUUCCAAAGAUAAGUAUCAGUAUUGCAUGCAUUCAGAUUAUUCUCAAUGAUACGUAGCUCCUCCUCAAUCUCAUUAAGCAUUCCUACACGGUGUCUUCUUCUUCAAACACUUAACACUGCCUCCUCCACUGUAGCAUUCUUUUUCACUCUCAUAUCAAUGAUCCCCCUAACACCCAACAAAUCAGAGAGAACCCCUUUCCCAGACCAAUUAUCAAACCAAAAAGAGGUGUAUCUUCCAUUACCCACUUCAAACUUCAAGAACAGCUUAGCCACACUUCUCAACUUCAACAUCUUAUGCCACAUCCAAGAACCCAAUUGCAUCUUUGAGUUAACUUCCCAAAAGCUUUGCCCUUUCAGCAAGUUAGCUCGGAUCCAUUUCCCCCAAAGAGACUCUCCAGUUAACAUUCUCCAUAUCAGUUUGAGACCAUAAACCUUAUUGACUUCUCUCAGAUUUCUGAUCCCCAAACCCCCUUCACUCUUAGUGCAGCAGAUAUCUUUCCAAGCAACCUUUGCAUUUGAAGAUUUAAGAGAUGGCCCCGUCCAUAAGAAAGCUGAGCAUAUUUGUUCCACUUCCUUUAUACAACUGCACGGUAAACGGAACACUGUCGCCCAAAAGUUGACUACACUAAUGAGAACAGAGUUUAUUAACUGAAUGACAAGAAUCUACACGUCUAGGAACUUAUUUUGCUUCUUAUCUUUUCCAAAAGAGGGACAUAAUCUUGCUUCUUCAUCACAUGUGUCAUUAGUGGAAGACUUAAGUAAUGAACAGGGAGCUCUCCAACUGCAAACUUAAAAUUGGACAAGAUACUUCUCUUCUCUACAUCCGAAACCCCCGCCAUAUAUAUUGUUGAUUUCUCCACACUGAUGCUCAAUCCAGACCACACCUCAAACUCUUCAAACACAGUUAACGCACCUUGUACAGACUGCUUCAAUCCUUCAACAAACACCAUUAAAUCAUUUGCAAAGCAUAGGUGUGUGAUCGAGAGAGAUUGACAACCCGGGUGAAACUUGAAUUUUCCUUCAGCCACUGCUCUAUCAAUUUUCCUUGAUAAUACAUUCAUACACAAUACGAACAGGUACGGCGAAAGAGAGCAACCCUGACGUAGUCCUCUUGAGCUUUGAAAGUACCCCGCGAGAUAACCAUUGACUUGCACCGAGAACGAAGGACUCGUUAUGCAUAAUUAUAUCCAAUGAAUGAACUUCUUAGGAAAUCCCAAGGCACUCAGACUCUUCAAUACAAACGUCCAUUGAACUCAAUCAAACGCUUUAGAUAUAUCAAUUUUCAUAACACACCUUGGGGCAAUUGUGUCCUUAUGAUAAUCCUUGACGAGUUCUGAAGCUAGAAGAACAUUCUCCAUGAGCAAACAACCUUUAACAAACGCUGACUGGUUUUCUAUUAUGAUCUGAGGAAGCAAUCUCUUUAGCCUAUUAGCCACAAUUUUAGAGACCACCUUAUAAUGGACGUUGCAGCAUGCAAUCGGCCUGUAGUCUCUCAUCUCUAGAGAGUCCAGCUUCUUUGGGACUAAAGCCAAGAUUGUGGAAUUCACCCCCUUAGGAAGAAAACCAAAUCAAAAUACAGACUGCACCGCGAUAGUAAAAUCUUGAGCUAGUACUGACCAAGUAGUCUUGAAGAACUUAGCAGGAUAACCGUCUGGCCCAGGAGAUUUGUUAUUUGGCAUAGCAAAUAGGACUUUACGCACUUCCUCUGCAGUAACUUCCUCCUCCAAGAGACGACAAUCUUCAUCAGAGCAACUGAAAUCAAGUAAGCUCCGCAACUCCUCCUUGUUAGUGCCUUGGAAAUUCUCAGGAAUACGAUUGAGAAAUUCUGAGAAAAAACUCUCUGCCUCCUGCUUAAUCUCCAGAUGUGAAUUUACUAAGUCCCCAUUCACACAUCUGAUUUCUCGAAUCAUAUUCUGAGCUUCCCUUGAUGUAAUAGCUCUGUGGUAAGUCUUAUUGUUUUGGUCUCCAAUAUCCAGCCAAUGAAGCUUUGCUUUCUGCUUCAAAAAAUCCUCCUCUAAACUAGCUACAUGUAGCCAUCUUCCAUAAGCUUCAGCUUCAUCUUGGAUUGCUUCCUCGCUCGGGUUUGCUAGAGUAAAAUUAUGCUUUAUGCAGAGAGAAUCGAAAGCUUCUUUUGCUCUUUUUGAAAUAUUCCCCAUCUUUUCCCUGCCCAUCUCUCUAAUUAACAGCUUCAAGUUCUUCAGUUUUUUCGAAAACCUGAACAUAGCUGAGGUGGAGUGAAAUAAACUCUCUGUUGCAUCCCAGUAAUCUUUCACCAUAGGCAGAAACGAGGGUAGACUCCCCAAAGCAUUUACAUACUUAAAAGGUCUUUUGAUUCUCACACGAGGAGGAAACGACUGCACUUUGCACCUCAUGUGAUCAGAACAACCACCAGAUUCAAAAACUGAAUAAGCAUUGCUAAAUCUGAGAAGAGCUUCUUCAUUGAGCAGUACUCUAUCUAACUUGUUGCAGAUAAUGCCUUCCUCCCUCUUAUUACACCAAGUAUACCUAGGCCCCUGAUAAGCCAUAUCUGCGAGACGACAUCGAAGUACCAGUGCCUUAAAAUCCCUCAUACCACUAGACAUUCUUCCACCAUUAUCAAAACUCGAACUCUCAUCACCUUCCAGUAUCUCAUUAAAAUCUCCUAAAACCAUCCAAGCUUUAUUUUUGAAACUCGGAGAUUCAUGUUGAUGAAUCAGAUCCUCCCAUAACACUUUCCUCUCUUCCACCUGAUUACUAGCAUAGAUACUCAUACAAAAAAAACCCUCCUCAUCUUCCAUCUCCACUCUUACAGUCACCAAUUGAUCCGUCUUAUACACUGGUGUUAUUCGAACUGAAUCUCUCCAUAAAAACCAUAUUAUGCCUCCUCUACUAUCUUCAUAGUUAGUAAUAGAAGACCAAUCCCUGAACACAUUAUUUAAAAUCUUCCCUGCCUUUCUCUCCUUCACUCUUGUUUCCAAAAUACAACCAAACUUGAUCUCUCUAUUAUUUAUCCACUCUGCUACCACGGAAUGCUUCAACACUUAAAACAGAGAACUUUGAUGCCGAGAUAACAGCAACUACCUCCCUGCUUGGUGUUUUUGAUGUAGUUCUUCCCACUUUAUCUGGUGACACCAAAGCCCAGACAUUAUCCUUAGCCGACUCGCUGCCUUGACCAUCCGCAGCCUCCUUUUGUUUUGACACCUCACUGCUCUUUGUCACAUACAUACCAACUUCCCGAGUAUGAUUCUCAAUACUAUGAUCAGCCCCUCCUUUAUUACGAUCCCCUCCGGAAUUACUGCCAACAAUUGUUUUCCCAUACACACCAUUUCCUUCAUUCAACCCCCCUUGUUUCUUCUCUUUCUUCUUCAUUACACAGACCUUAUCAUUGUGACCCCAUUUCUCACAGAUAUUACAUCUAGAUAAGGAUAGCAGAACUCAGCAGUAAUCUCUUUCCCAUCAAUUGCAAAAUCAAUCUUUGGUAGCGUUUUUGUAACAUCGACAUUCACAAAAAUCUUUGCCUCCUCAAAGCUUGAACAUGCAAUCGUUUAUGGAUGAAGAUGUACUGGAUAUCCAACCGUACUCGUCAUGAAGCUCAGAGCCUCCCAAGAGAACAUGUGCAGUGGCACCUUCCUCAAGUUAACCCACAUCGGACUAGCUUCUUCCGCCUGCUUUUCCUCUUCCGUCUUAGGAGACCAUUUUUUAACGAUCAUAGGAAUUCCGGCAAUGUUCCACAUCCCUCUUUUAAUAACCUUCUCCCGAGCUUUCUGAUUUUUUAUCUUAAACCUCAUCGUCGUAGCAUUGACAUCAUACACCUCCACUUUAGAUGACAAAUCACCAUAGCUCCAGAUCUUGUUCACCACCAUGUGCACCUUAGCGAUAUGAGGCGCAAUAUCCAGAAACUUUCCUACAAUGAAAUCCUCCCACAACGGAGUAGCAUCGGAGAGAAUCUCAACAGGAAUCACCACUUUGUGCUUACCAUCAAUCGAUUUCACCUCAACUGCGUAUUUCUUUAGGCUUCGUUUAUCCUGCGCCACUUCUACCCAUUUUGAAUCUCUUUAUAUCUGAUCUUCUUUCGAUCUCUUCACUUCUCCCAAUCCCUCAUCCUACUCUCUGGCGAACCAGAUGAGCCCGGCGGUGACGCCAAAAUCAUCAGAAACCCUCGACACGAAUCGCAGUCAGAAUCGCCAAUAAAAUCGCCGUUAGCACAACGCAGCGUUUUUUUUCGGCCUUUCUCAUCCCCUAUAUUUCUCGUUACAAACUUCAGGGCAUACCAACCCUCAAAAUUAUAAGGAGAACGCUGAACGCACACUCCCAAUAAUAACACUGUUUGAGACGUUCGUUCGAUUGUUAUUCAAAUAAUACAAGUUGGUAUCAUACAUAUACAGAGUAAAACGUAGAUAUGUCAUAUCUCACAAUAACAAAAGCACAACUCAAAAAAAAAACUCUUGGUAAGCUAACCACAGAAAUUUUAUAUCCAGCAAAAGGCAAAUGAAAUCCUUAGUAGUUGAUUAUGGUUGACUUGUGUGUUUAGCGGGCACCACAUUAAUCUUCAGGUCUAGUAACAUAAUCACACAGGUUUUAGGUUUCUCAAGGUCUCCAUGGUGCUGGUGGAGGCGGGGGAGUAGGGAACAAUGGAGGAACCGCUGAGAAUAUAGUGUUUUUGUCUAUAGUACCAGAUGCCUCCUCUUCACCCGACAAUGCUACGAGAGCUGCGACCAGACCAGCAUUUCCUGCAAGAGUCGGUUCAGUGUAGUUGUAGUUAGUCCGUACAUCGCGGAAACCAUCGCGCUUGUCAGGACCAGCAACCAUGGCUCCUUCAAUCGUGUUUGGGUUCGGUUUCUUGCUGUCUCUCCAUUUCCAUCCUCCUUUGCAGUUGUAUUUCACUUUGUUUUUGGGAAUCGAAGCUCCUCUGUGAUGCACGUGUUUCGGGUAUUUUGGGCCAAAACCCACGAGAUAGCUCAUUUUGCGAGGGUUUUUACCGAGUAUGUAAUCAAUCUGCAGUAACACAGGUAGGCUGAGUUAAGCUCAAAUCUGAUUUUUACCACGAAAAAUAAAUCAUCAAAUCUAAGAUCUGCAUUAAUGACUACAUCAACUGUGUCUACGAUUUCCUUUACGAUCAAAUCUAAAAUUUUAGUACUCGAAAGUAAUUAUGUAAACCAAUGUGUCAACAACUCGACAAAAGCAGUGUUGAUAAUAGUUUUUCAAGUGAUAAACAUGAUAUUUCCCAUUACUAGUGUAUCAGAGAAUUACAUUUGUAUAGAGAGAGAGAGACGCAAUACCUGAGAUCUCGAAAAAUCUCGUAGGACACUGGUUGAAUAGAAAUUAGGUCCACAGUACCAUCCAGGAGUAUCAGCAGCAUCCAGAUAAUCGCUGUACAACGUAGCUAAGAAAGCUGCAUUUGCAGCAUACUGGAGGGGCUGUGGAUCUCCAUGAUUCAACUCUAUCAAACCUCCUGCACAUAUAACCAGAAAAUUUACAUUUGUUUAAUAUCCAGAUCAAGAACUGGUUCAACAUUCAAAGCUGCCUUAAAGCCAAAGACUAGCAUAUACAUAUAUAUAUAUAACUCACCCCUGGUUCUGUUAAAUUUGUUGAAAUACGGCAAGUAUGAGCACAUGACUAUGCUUGUCUGAUUAUGGAAUGUUCUUAGAAUUUCUUCAUAUGGGUAUCCAGGACUCAAAAACAACCUUAACCGGCUCAGCAGCAACUGAAAAGUACAGGGUGUUUACAAGCGCUAAAGAGGAGAUCAACAACAUAACGGAAACAUAAACACAAUAAGUUGAUUUGUGGGCUGACCUGAGCACCAGCAAGCUUGUUGUCCCAGCUAAAUACACCAUAGUAAGGCCCACCCCAGAAGGCACCCGCAUGCUUAGCCAUAGUUGGCUUUGUGAUUAGAUCGAGAUAAGUUACGUUUCCUGUGGCAUAGUAUAACCAAGCACCACCCCAAAUAAACUCAUCCCAAUACAUGCUUGAAUUGUAAAACUUGGCCGACUCCGCAGUGCCUGCACUGUAUCUGCCUCUCCGAGUUCUUCCAAACUGAUACACAGUCUUAGCACCAUGUACGAGCUUCUUAGAAUACUCUCUGUUGUCUUUGAACACAAUGGAUGCUGAAGCGAGAGCAGCUGCCAUCUCUGCAGCGAGAUCCGAACAUCCACCAUUACAGGUAGUCACAGGCCUUUUGUAGUCCAUGUCUUCAGGUCGCAUCCAGCAGUAAUGGUCAUUAGGAUCCGUACUUCCGUCGUCAGUGUUUCCAGCUCCGACCUUAGAGUUUAAAUAAGGAAACAAAACAAAACAACUCAAAAGAAAGCUAAAGAUAUUAUCCUAGCCUAGGAAAGGAAGUUUUACCUGUGAAACAAGAUCAUCGAUGGAAUCAGCAGUACUGUUAAAGGUCUUGAGAAAGUAAUCAGUUCCCCAUUUAAUGAGCUCCCUAACAUGGGCAAGCUCUCCUGCAGCUUCGUAUUUAGCACUGUAUUCAAUGACACUCCAGCUCAACAUGGUCAUAGCAUAAGCCAUGGGGAAAUUGAACUUGAUAGUAUCUCCAGCAUCGUAAUAGCCUCCAACCAAAUCUUUAUAGAAGCUUCCUGAAUCACCUUUCCCAUCUUGAAGACCAGAACUACCUCUCCAUGACACGUUAUUGUGCCUCGGCAACUUUCCAGCUGCAGAUUGAAAAAAUAAUUAAUCAGACUAUCAUUUCCUUAAGAUUUUUACACAUCAGAGCUACUACUAGGACUUACAUUUCUGAGCAUUGAAAAACUUGAGGGCUUUGUGAAGAGCGAUUGUGUAAUUAUCCGGCGCUGGAUUCUUGUGGUGGUGACGCGGCACAGUUUUGAUGAUCAAGGUUAUGAAUCCGGCGAGUAAAGCGGCGGCGACAACUAUACCGACGGUCCAGACGAAGAUCUUGCGGCUGACGAUUAUACAGCCGAGAUCGACGAACUUCUUCUUCUUCUGCUCAGUCGGACCAAGAAGCCAGCUCUGCUGCGUUUCGUCGAGUGGCCGAGAAAGAGCCGCGCGGUCGACAUCAUUCAGAUUCCGGCUACGAUCGUCGUCGGUGGCGGAAUCCGUGGCGUUGAUCUCCAGUGGACCUCCCCAGGGAUCUCGGCCGUACAUGGUUUAGAAGAGAAGAAGAAGAUCAGAUCUAAGAGUGUGAAUGAGGUUUGUUUUUGUACUUUGAGAGGAGGAGGAAAUGUGAGCUAAGCUAGUCAAUAAUAAUGGACUAAUUUGCUUUGUGGUUUCGAUUCUUUUUCUCACUUCCAUUAUUAUUUUAUUAUUAUUAUUUUGGCUGUCGGUUUAUAUCUUCAUCAUGUUACGUUACAGCUGCACUGAACCAUGAUUGAGCUUUCUUGCCAACUCGUAUAAUUUGGUAAUUAAAUUAAAUUUGUGAAAGAUAACUUGAUGACAGGAAAAAGCAAAAUUUGAGUGUUAAUGACAACCAAAGCAUAUUCUAUGUAAUUUAUCAGAAAACUACAUUUCUCAUUUAUGAUUCUCAACUAUAGUUUCCGUUUAAUUAAUUACAUACUAGGAUAAUAACUGCGCAAGCGCAGGGUGAGUUUAUUUCUAUAUAUUAUCGAUAAUUUUUUUUAUAUAUUUGAUCAUUUUAUUUAUAUAAUAUACAAUAUUUUUUGUUGUUAUUAUAUAAUUUCUUUCCGAUAGAUCAAAUCAAUUUUUAUUAAAAAUGAUGGAACAAAACUAUAAUUAAUACAUCAUGGGUUGAUCGGAUUGGACAUUAAACAAAUUAUGACAUAAAAACCUUAUUUUUUCCAUCGAACACAUUUUUGAGAAAAGUAAACAGUGUUGUUUUCACAGUUGAAUUAUUUUGACUUUUAUCUUCCAUAUGGUUUUGAAAGCUUUCAAAUCAACCAUCGAAUUGAUACAUGUCAUUUUAAUGUUUUUAGUCGUAUACUUAAGGAAAACUUACAUUUUUGUAAUUUAAAGUCGUUUUAAAAAAAUUCAAAAUAUAACAUAUAAGAAAAAGUCUAACAUAUAAGAAAAAUAUAACAUAUAAAGUGUCCUCAUUUUUGUAUUUUAAAGUCGUUUUAAGAAAAAAAUAACAUAUAAGACUUCCUCAUUUUUGUAAUUUAAUGUCAUUUUAAAAAAUUCUAAAUAUAACAUAUAAGAAAAAUCUAAUUUUUUUAUUAUAUGGUUAAUGUGAUUUUUAUUUUUUUAAUAAUAUUAAAUUAAACAAAAUGAAGAAAGAUGCGAAAAUUGUUAUCAAAUCUUUAUUAUUCAUAAUCAUUAAUUACCAUAUAUAUGUAAAUCAUAUUAGGCAAUUUCCUAGCUUUUAUUUAGGAAAAAAAUACACACUUCUUAUAUUUUAGGUUAAUAUAAUGUUCUCUAGUGGACAUUAAGCAAAUUAUGACAUAAAAACCUUAUUUUUUUCCUCGAACACAUUCUUGAAAAAGUGAACAGUAUUAUUUUCACAGUUAAAUUAUUUUGACUUUUAUCUUACAUAUGGUUUUGAAAGCUUUCAAAUCAGCCAUCGAACAUAUACAUGUCAUUUUAAUGUGUUUAGUCGUAUACUUAAGAAAAACUUACAUUUUUGUAAUUUAAAGUCGUUUUAAAAAAAUCAAAAUAUAACAUAUAAGAAAAAAUCUAACAUAUAAGAAAAAUAUAACAUAUAAGGUGUCCUCAUUUUUGUAUUUUAAAGUCUUUUUUAAAAAAAAUAUAACAUAUAAGGUUUCCUCAUUUUUUUAAAUUUAAUGUCAUUUUAAAAAAUUCCAAAUAUAACAUAUAAGAAAAAAUCUAAUUUUUUUUAUUAUAUGGUUAAUGUGAUUGUUUAUUUUUUUAAUAAUAUAAAAUUAAACAAAAUGAAGAAGGAUGCAAAAAUUGUUAUCAAAUCUUUAUUAUUCAUAAUCAUUAAUUGUCAUAUAUAUGUAAAUCAUAUUAGGUAAUUCCGUAGCUUUUAUUUAAGGAAAGAAUACACAUUUCUUAUAUUUUAGGUUAAUAUAAUGUUCUCUAGUGUUAUAUAAUUAUGAAAUAAUGUGACACCAUUAGAUUAAACUAUAUUUUAUAUUAGAUGUUCUAGAAUUCUUUGUAAUUGAAUUUAGAAGACAUUUAGAGUGCCACCUAGGAUUUGAGAUUUUUUUUAAUUAAUACAAAAUUAAAGUUUUAAUUUUUCAAAUGCUUCUCAAUUAAUAUAUAGGGGAUACAUAUACAAGUUUAAUAUUCAUCUUGUAAUGUAACGGUUAAACGAGAUGGUGAAAUCAUCAAAAUUCAAAGGUUUUCAAAUAAUAAUCCACAAUAUGUUGUUGUUCUUUUAUGAUUCCCUGUUUUAAAUAUGUCACUGAGUGCAGUAAUCACAUUUGGCAAAUAUCACGUAGUUAAUACUAUUUGUUCCGCCAUUGAACAAAAAUUAAUAUACAUAUUUUAUUCACCGUUUUAAGAAAUAUAUUUAAGUGUAAUAUACUUUGUUUACUAUUACUAACAAAGCAAUUGGCUAAAUGUUGGGUGAACGACAAAGACAUAUCCCCUAACUCUAUACUAUACAUUGUCGGUGGGGUGUAUCAGCAUAUUUUUUUUUUUUUUCAACCAUGUAUCAGCAUAUUUAAUAGUAGUAUUUAUUUUAUCUCAGAGAAUUGUGGUGUUUACCAAGUCAUCAUUUUGGUGGCCGUUUUUUUUUUCAUAUUAAUUUUCCUUGCAGUAGCAACUCUAAUUGAACGCUAAAACAUUAAAUCUGAUGUAAUUUUAUUUCGAAAAAAACCAAAAAUGAUAUUUUCCUACCAAAUUUGGUGUGAUAUUGUUUAUCACAUCAAAUAUUUAUUAUACAUAUUUUAUUAUUUUUCAUUUAAUAAUAUAGUUCAACUAUUAUGAUUAACUAGUUCAAAUUUGUAACUAAACAUAAAUAUAUUAUAUUAAUUAUAUUUUAAAAUUAUUUUUACAUAGUUAAAAUAUUGGAAAAAUUACAUAUUUACCACUUUCAUGCUACCACUUUUCAUUUUUACCACCACUAGAAUGACAUUUUCAAAAAUACAUUCUUCAUUAAGUGUUAAAAAAUUCUUAUGCCUAUAUUCUUUACAUAUAUAAUAAAUAAAUAUUUAAAUAAUUAAAAAUAUAAAAAAAUAAAAAAUAAUUUGUUUUAAUUUUUUUCUGAAUUAUACUAUUUCGAAAUUUAAACCCUAAACCUUAAAACUCAACUCUAAACCCUAAACUAUCAAUCUUAAACUUUUUUUUUUUGAAAUACGAACCCUAAACCCUAAACCAUAAAUCCUAAACACUAUUUUUUUUUAAAUAAACCCUAAACCCUGAAACAUCAACUCUAAACCAUAAACCCCGAAACAUGAACUCUAAACCCUAAACAUUCAACUCUAAACCCUAAAACAUCAACUCUAAACCCUAAAUCCCAAACUUCAACUUUAAACCCUAAACCAUCAGCACUAAACCCUAAACUAUCAACACUAAACCCUAAACCAUAAAAAUUAAACUCUAAACCCUAAACCCUAAAAAAUUAACCCCAACUCUAAACCCUAAACCUUAAACUUUCAACUCUAAACCCUAAACCCUAAACCCUAAAACCCUAGAGUUGAUGUUUUAGGGUUUAGAUUUGAAGAUUUAGGGUUUAGGGUUUACGUUUAGGGUUUAGAGUUGAUGUUUAAGGGUUUAGAUUUGAAGGUUUAGGGUUUAGGGUUUAGGGUUCGAAUUUCAGAAAAAUAUAAGGUUUAGGGUUUAGUGUUUAAGUUUAGGGUUUAGAGUUGAUGUUUUAGGGUUUUGAUUUGAAGGUUUGGGAUUUAGAGUUGAUGUUUCGGGGUUUAGGGUUUAGAGUUGAUGUUUCAUGGUUUAGAGUUUAGAGUUGAUGAUUUAGGGUUUAAAGUUGAUAUUUUAAGUUUAGAUUUAGGGUUUAGGGUUUUUGUUUAGGGUUUAGAGUUGAUGUUUUAGGGUUUAGAUUGUAAGUUUUAGGGUUUAGAGUUCAUGUUUCCGGGUUUAGGAUUUAGAGUUAAUGAUUUAGGGUUUAGAGUUGAUGUUUUAAGUUUAGAUUAGUUAACCAUAUGUUUUUUUUUUGUCAAAGGUAAUCAAAAGAUUAUAAAAGUAUUUUACCCUUCAUUAAAGAUGAGGGUAAAGUCGUUAGUGUAAACAUGAAAAGUGGUAUUUUGAAAAUGGUAUUUUUGCCAAUUUCCCUAAAAUAUUUAUUAUUUUAUUUUAAAGUAAGAAAUCACUCGAUGACUAUUUUCAUUUAUUUUAUAUUGUAAAAGAGUAUCAUAGAACUUUUAUAUUUUAUUUUUAAUAAUAAAAAAAUAAUUAAUAUUUUAUAAAUUAUAUAAAUUAAUAAUAUAAUCCGGAUAAGAUUAAAAUGCAUAUUUUAGUGAAUAGUGUAAUACCAAAUUUAGUGUGAUAUUGUUUAUCACAUCAAAUAUUUAAUAUAUAUAUUUUUUUUAUUUUUCAUUUAAUAAUAUAGUUCAACUAUUAUUAUUAACUAGUUCAAAUUUGUAACUAAACAUAAAUAUAUUAUAUUAAUUAUAUUUUAAAAUUAUUUUUACAUAGUUAAAAUAUUUAUUAUUUUAUUUUCAAGUAAGAAAUCACUCGAUGACUAUUAUCAUUUAUUUUAUAUUGUAAAAGAAUAUCAUAGAACUUUUAUAUUUUAUUUUUAAUAAUAAAAAAAUUAAUUAAUAUUUUAUAAAUUAUAUAAAUUUAUAAUAUAAUCUGGAUAAGAUUGACACUAAAAAAAUAAAAAGUAUAAUAUUGUUAAAACGAAAAAUAUAAAUGUAAAUAAAUUUUAUAAACAUAAAUUACAAAAAAUUAACUAACAUAAUAUUUAAGUGUAAUAAAAUAAUUAUUUAUCAAUAAUAUAUAAUAAAAAUAUAAAAUUAUUAAAACUUAAAGCAUUAAAGAAUAUAUAAUAGAUAAAAUAACUAGGAUAGCACCAAAAAAGUUUUUGUCACAAAUAUAGCUUAUAAGAAUAAAAAUGACCAAAACAACAUUUAAUAUUUUAUCAAAAGAGAUAAAUAUACACUUAUACCCCAAUGGUAAAUUAAUUUAAACAUUAGGGUUUAGAGUUAAGGGGUGGGGUUUCGGAUUUAGGGUUUAUGGUUUAGGAUUUAGGGUUUACGGUUUAGAGUUUAGGGGUGGGGUUUAGGGUUUAGGGUUUAGAGUUAAGGGGUGGGGUUUAGGAUUUAGGGUUUAGGAUUUAGGGUUUAGGGUUUAGGGGUUAGAGUUUAGGGGUGGGUUUAGGGUUUAGGGUUUAGAGUUAAGGGAUGGGGUUUAGGAUUUAGGAUUUAAGGUUUAGAGUUUAGAGUUUAGGAUUUAGAGUUUAGGUUUUAGGGUUUAGAGUUGGAGAGUGGAGUUUUGGGAUAAGAUUUCAAAUUUUGAAAAAUAAAAUAAAAUUAAAUUUUUCAAAAGAUACAAUGCUAUUUUUGGUCAUUUUAGUUUUUGAAAGCUAUUUUUGUGACAUAAACUUAGAAAUGUGCUAUUUUUGAGAUUUGUCCUAUAUAAUAUUACUUUUGGUGUGUAAUAUUUAGUGUUAUGGUUCGAGAAGACAAAAAAAAGUUUGACAUCAAAACACUAAAUUUGAUGUAAUUUCUAACACCAAAUUUGGUGU
Molecule: long non-coding RNA, 36050 nt
Filed under: Brassica napus (rape)
Lineage: Eukaryota; Viridiplantae; Streptophyta; Magnoliopsida; Brassicales; Brassicaceae
Description: long non-coding RNA (BNAP_LNC025497)
Source: RNAcentral